CCGAGUGAGGGCCCUCUGGGUCCAACCUCCCACCCGUGUUUAUCGUACCUUGUUGCUUCGGCGGGCCCGCCUCACGGCCGCCGGGGGGCUUCUGCCCUCGGGCCCGCGCCCGCCGAAGACACCAUUGAACGCUGUCUGAAGAUUGCAGUCUGAGCAAUUAGCUAAAUAAGUUA
This 173-nucleotide unclassified non-coding RNA is filed under the name uncultured Penicillium. RNAcentral's name for it is "sequence contains ITS1". Lineage: Eukaryota; Fungi; Ascomycota; Eurotiomycetes; Eurotiales; Aspergillaceae. The record is from RNAcentral. RNAcentral also lists the same sequence under 1 other name.